This 339-nucleotide ribosomal RNA is filed under the name uncultured Pseudomonadota bacterium. RNAcentral describes it as "bacterial SSU rRNA". It matches the Rfam family "Bacterial small subunit ribosomal RNA", at positions 29 to 351 of the family's 1533-position model. The record is from RNAcentral. Lineage: Bacteria; Pseudomonadati; Pseudomonadota.
AACGAACGCUGGCGGCGUGCCUAACACAUGCAAGUCGAGCGAGAAAGUCCCUUCGGGGGCGAGUAGAGCGGCGGACGGGUGAGUAAUACAUGGGUAAUUUACCUUCGAGUUUGGGAUAACCCUGCGAAAGCGGAGCUAAUACCGGAUAAGACCACGUGGCCCAGGCCGCGGGGUAAAAGGUGGCCUGUAUUCAUACAAGCUAUCACUUGAAGAUGAGCCCAUGGCCUAUCAGCUUGUUGGCGGGGUAAAAGCCCACCAAGGCUAUGACGGGUAGCUGGUCUGAGAGGACGACCAGCCACACUGGGACUGAGACACGGCCCAGACUCCUACGGGAGGCUG